AGAGUUUGAUCCUGGCUCAGGAUAAACGCUGGCGGCGCACAUAAGACAUGCAAGUCGAACGAACUUAACCAUUAGUUUACUAUUGGAGCUGUUAGUGGCGGACUGGUGAGUAACACGUAAGCAACCUGCCUAUCAGGAGGGGAACAACAGUUAGAAAUGACUGCUAAUACCGCAUAUGCCUUAGAAUCACAUGGUUACAAAAAGGGAAAGGAGCAAUCCACUGAUAGAUGGGCUUGCGU
Molecule: ribosomal RNA, 239 nt
Filed under: uncultured bacterium
Lineage: Bacteria
Description: partial 16S ribosomal RNA
Rfam family: Bacterial small subunit ribosomal RNA
Source: RNAcentral